AGACGGGGCCCGCACAAGCGGUGGAUGAUGUGGAUUAAUUCGAUGCAACGCGAAAACCUUACCUACCCUUGACAUGUCCGGAAUCCCGAAGAGAUUUGGGAGUGCUCGCAAGAGAGCCGGAACACAGGUGCUGCAUGGCUGUCGUCAGCUCGUGUCGUGAGAUGUUGGGUUAAGUCCCGCAACGAGCGCAACCCUUAUCAUUAGUUGCUACGCAAGGGCACUCUAAUGAGACUGCCGGUGACAAACCGGAGGAAGGUGGGGAUGACGUCAAGUCCUCAUGGCCCUUAUGGGUAGGGCUUCACACGUCAUACAAUGGUCGGUACAGAGGGUUGCCAAGCCGCGAGGUGGAGCCAAUCCCAGAAAGCCGAUCGUAGUCCGGAUUGUUCUCUGCAACUCGAGAGCAUGAAGUCGGAAUCGCUAGUAAUCGCGGAUCAGCAUGUCGCGGUGAAUACGUUCCCGGGUCUU
RNAcentral lists this ribosomal RNA (465 nucleotides) under uncultured Thiobacillus sp. Its description in RNAcentral is "bacterial SSU rRNA". It matches the Rfam family "Bacterial small subunit ribosomal RNA", at positions 916 to 1381 of the family's 1533-position model. Lineage: Bacteria; Pseudomonadati; Pseudomonadota; Betaproteobacteria; Nitrosomonadales; Thiobacillaceae. The record is from RNAcentral.